UGAGGAUUCAAAUUCUAAUGUUGGAGAAGAUAUAACUUUUAAUAUAUUAAACAUUAUGCAAAUAAUAAAAAAGUGUGAUUGUAUUGCCUUUACUCAAUCAAAAAUAUGUUUGGAUGAUAAGCAUAGUAUGGAUUCACAUUGCUUUCUUAAACAUUAUUGACAUGUUUUGAUAUUAUGCUUAGCUUUAUAAUAAUGUCCUAACAAUUGAUACACAAGAUUUAUGCCUAAUGUGAUUUACUGUUGAACAUCGUUGCUUCAAUAAAUCGUAACUAACUAAAUUGUUUCGUCAAAUUAAAAUGUGUUUGGAACAGUGGAUUUUUGGAAGAC
This 327-nucleotide long non-coding RNA is filed under the name Medicago truncatula (barrel medic). RNAcentral describes it as "lncRNA gene37183". The record is from RNAcentral. Lineage: Eukaryota; Viridiplantae; Streptophyta; Magnoliopsida; Fabales; Fabaceae.